UAUUGGGCGUAAGGGCGCGUAGGCGGUCUUGUACACGUCUGAGUGUGAAAUGCCUCGGGGCUCAACCCCGGAACUGCACUUGAAACUGCAAGACUUGAAUACGGGAGAGGAGAGAGGAAUUCCUGGUGUAGAGGUGAAAUUCGUAGAUAUCAGGAGGAACACCGAUGGCGAAGGCAUCUCUCUGGACCGAUAUUGACGCUGAGGCGCGAAGGCGUGGGUAGCGAACGGGAUUAGAUACCCCGGUAGUCCACGCAGUAAACGUUGUACACUCGGUGUGGCGGAUAUUAAAAUCUGCUGUGCCUAACCUAACGCAUUAACCGUACCGCCUGGGAAGUACGGUCGCAAGACUAAAACUCAAAGGAAUUGACGG
This 370-nucleotide ribosomal RNA is filed under the name uncultured bacterium. RNAcentral's name for it is "bacterial SSU rRNA". It matches the Rfam family "Bacterial small subunit ribosomal RNA", at positions 552 to 916 of the family's 1533-position model. The record is from RNAcentral.